RNAcentral lists this ribosomal RNA (319 nucleotides) under uncultured eukaryote. Its description in RNAcentral is "partial 18S ribosomal RNA". It matches the Rfam family "Eukaryotic small subunit ribosomal RNA", at positions 1470 to 1796 of the family's 1831-position model. The record is from RNAcentral.
CCCUUAGAUGUUCUGGGCCGCACGCGUGCUACACUGAGUGGAUCAGCGGGUCAGGUUGCGCGAAAGCGUUUCCUAAUCUUUAAAUCCGCUCGUGAUGGGGAUUGACGGUUGCAAUUUUCUGUCAUGAACGAGGAAUACCUUGUAAGCGCGGGUCAUCAUCCCGCGCUGAAUACGUCCCUGCCCUUUGUACACACCGCCCGUCGCUCCUACCGAUUGAGUGUUCCGGUGAAUAAUUCGGACUGCAGUAGCGUGGGGACUCCUCACCUGCAGCGGAAAGUUUGGUGAACCUUAACACUUAGAGGAAGGAGAAGUCGUAACA